RNAcentral lists this ribosomal RNA (468 nucleotides) under uncultured bacterium. RNAcentral describes it as "partial 16S ribosomal RNA". It matches the Rfam family "Bacterial small subunit ribosomal RNA", at positions 328 to 792 of the family's 1533-position model. The record is from RNAcentral.
AUGCCAGACUCCUACGGGAGGCAGCAGUGAGGAAUAUUGGUCAAUGGGCGGAAGCCUGAACCAGCCAAGUCGCGUGAGGGAAGAAGGCCCUGCGGGUCGCAGACCUCUUUGGACGGGGAGCAAGGCCGCCGGCGUGUCGGCGGAAGGAGAGUACCCGUAGAACAAGCAUCGGCUAACUACGUGCCAGCAGCCGCGGUAAUACGUAGGGGGCAAGCGUUAUCCGGAAUGAUUGGGCGUAAAGGGAGCGCAGACGGCAGUGCAAGUCUGGAGUGAAAGCCCGUGGCUUAACUACGGGACUGCUCUGGGAACUGUGCAGCUAGAGUGCAGGAGAGGCAGGCGGAAUUCCUAGUGUAGCGGUGAAAUGCGUAGAUAUUAGGAGGAACACCGGUGGCGAAGGCGGCCUGCUGGACUGUAACUGACGUUGAGGCUCGAAAGCGUGGGGAGCAAACAGGAUUAGAUACCCGCGUA